This 498-nucleotide ribosomal RNA is filed under the name uncultured Anaerococcus sp. RNAcentral describes it as "bacterial SSU rRNA". It matches the Rfam family "Bacterial small subunit ribosomal RNA", at positions 8 to 507 of the family's 1533-position model. The record is from RNAcentral. Lineage: Bacteria; Bacillati; Bacillota; Tissierellia; Tissierellales; Peptoniphilaceae.
AGAGUUUGAUCCUGGCUCAGGAUUAACGCUGGCGGCGUGCAUAACACAUGCAAGUCGAACGAUGAAACUUAGUAGAUUUCUUCGGAAUGAAGCUAAGUGGAUUAGUGGCGGACGGGUGAGUAACACGUGAGUAACCUGCCUUACACAAGGGGAUAGCCAUUGGAAACGAUGAAUAAUACCCUAUGAAGUAGCCUAAUCGCAUGGUUAAGCUACCAAAGUGCUUAGUGGUGUAAGAUGGACUUGCGUCUGAUUAGCUAGUUGGUGAGAUAAAAGCCCACCAAGGCGACGAUCAGUAGCCGGCUUGAGAGAGUGUGCGGCCACAUUGGGACUGAGACACGGCCCAAACUCCUACGGAAGGCAGCAGUGGGGAAUUUUGCACAAUGGGGGAAACCCUGAUGCAACGACGCCGCGUGAUUUAGAAAGUCUUCGGAUUGUAAAAAUCUUUUGUAUAGGAAGAAAAUGACAGUACUAUACGAAUAAGGUCCGGCUAAUUACGUG